AAAUUGCAAUGUGUUGCAAAGUUGGAGGGACUGCACACGCAAAUAUCCCAUGUGGAGAAAACACGUGGAUCCUCUCCUCAGGGUCGGGUCACUACGCGGGUCAGGGCCAAAAUGACGUCGUUUUGACACCUGACCCCUAAUGGCAAAACGGCGUCGUUUCGUUUAGGGUAUUUAAACCCAAUUUUCUUCAAAAAAAACAUUUUAGCCACUAUUUAAAAAAAAACAAACAAAAACCCUUCCUCCUCCCCUCUAAACGUCCG
Molecule: long non-coding RNA, 260 nt
Filed under: Gossypium raimondii (Peruvian cotton)
Lineage: Eukaryota; Viridiplantae; Streptophyta; Magnoliopsida; Malvales; Malvaceae
Description: long non-coding RNA (GRAI_LNC001866)
Source: RNAcentral